UGGGGAAUCUUGCGCAAUGGGGGAAACCCUGACGCAGCGACGCCGCGUGGAGGAUGAAGGUCUUCGGGUUGUAAACUCCUUUUCUUGGGAAAGAUGAUGACGGUACCCAAGGAAUAAGCCACGGCUAACUCUGUGCCAGCAGCCGCGGUAAGACAGAGGUGGCGAGCGUUGUUCGGAAUUACUGGGCUUAAAGGGCGAGUAGGCGGUGGGACAAGUCUGAUGUGGAAUCCUAAGGCUUAACCAUAGAACUGCAUUAGAGACUGUUUUACUUGAGUCAGUGAGGGGAGGGCGGAAUUCCCGGUGUAGCGGUGAAAUGCGUAGAUAUCGGGAGGAAGGCCGGUGGCGAAGGCGGCCCUCUGGCACUGUACUGACGCUGAGGCGCGAAAGCGUGGGGAGCAAACAGG
This 404-nucleotide ribosomal RNA is filed under the name uncultured bacterium. RNAcentral describes it as "bacterial SSU rRNA". It matches the Rfam family "Bacterial small subunit ribosomal RNA", at positions 355 to 776 of the family's 1533-position model. The record is from RNAcentral.